AUGAGAUGUACAAAACUGAUCCAGAAGAAACCUACACUGAACGCAAAAAUUGAAUCCAAUGGAUUCGAAGAUAUUGGGCAGAAGAGUGGUUCAGAUACCGCUUCAUCACCAAGGAAUAUGCAGAGAAGAAUGCCAUCAAGGCACCCUGGAGUGAUAUUCUGUACAAAAAUCUUCCACCCAGAAAUCAAGCUAAAGCUAUUGAGCAAGGCUUCUAUCCUUGCAUGGUGCGCGGAUCACAGCCUGAGAAUGCUGAUCCGUCCUCACUACUCUGGUGUCGUGAUGACAAUCUGUUCAAGCGCAACUACCAGUUCGCCAAAGACUCAGCCAAAAAGAACAAGAAGGAUCUGGGGCUUGACUUCAACCCUGGUCCCUCCUCUCCUCGGGACAAUGGCACCCGUGAAGCCAAUGAAAACAGGAUUGACCCCUUCUACAACCUUGCUAGCCUCAUCACUCACAUUACUGUUCAAGGUGCCAAAGUGGAUCAUUCUGAUGAUGAUGAUGCUGACACUAACGAAGCUCCAGCUCCUCCUCCAAAGCCCAAGAAGCAACAGAAGACUAAAGCUUCAAAAGCAUCUGCUGCUCCAAAGACUUCAAGAGUGA
This 600-nucleotide ribosomal RNA is filed under the name Triticum aestivum (bread wheat). Its description in RNAcentral is "partial small subunit ribosomal RNA". Lineage: Eukaryota; Viridiplantae; Streptophyta; Magnoliopsida; Poales; Poaceae. The record is from RNAcentral.